CGGGACACGUGGUAUCCUGUCUGAAUAUGGGGGGACCAUCCUCCAAGGCUAAAUACUCCUGACUGACCGAUAGUGAACCAGUACCGUGAGGGAAAGGCGAAAAGAACCCCGGCGAGGGGAGUGAAAAAGAACCUGAAACCGUGUACGUACAAGCAGUGGGAGCACAGAGCAAUCUGUGUGACUGCGUACCUUUUGUAUAAUGGGUCAGCGACUUAUAUUCUGUAGCAAGGUUAACCGAAUAGGGGAGCCGAAGGGAAACCGAGUCUUAACCGGGCGUUAAGUUGCAGGGUAUAGACCCGAAACCCGGUGAUCUAGCCAUGGGCAGGUUGAAGGUUGGGUAACACUAACUGGAGGACCGAACCGACUAAUGUUGAAAAAUUAGCGGAUGACUUGUGGCUGGGGGUGAAAGGCCAAUCAAACCGGGAGAUAGCUGGUUCUCCCCGAAAGCUAUUUAGGUAGCGCCUCGUGAAUUCAUCUCCGGGGGUAGAGCACUGUUUCGGCAAGGGGGUCAUCCCGACUUACCAACCCGAUGCAAACUGCGAAUACCGGAGAAUGUUAUCACGGGAGACACACGGCGGGUGCUAACGUCCGUCGUGAAGAGGGAAACAACCCAGACCGCCAGCUAAGGUCCCAAAGUCAUGGUUAAGUGGGAAACGAUGUGGGAAGGCCCAGACAGCCAGGAUGUUGGCUUAGAAGCAGCCAUCAUUUAAAGAAAGCGUAAUAGCUCACUGGUCGAGUCGGCCUGCGCGGAAGAUGUAACGGGGCUAAACCAUGCACCGAAGCUGCGGCAGCGACACUGUGUGUUGUUGGGUAGGGGAGCGU
RNAcentral lists this ribosomal RNA (822 nucleotides) under Escherichia coli. RNAcentral describes it as "partial 23S ribosomal RNA". It matches the Rfam family "Bacterial large subunit ribosomal RNA", at positions 418 to 1239 of the family's 2925-position model. RNAcentral also lists the same sequence under 2 other names. Lineage: Bacteria; Pseudomonadati; Pseudomonadota; Gammaproteobacteria; Enterobacterales; Enterobacteriaceae. The record is from RNAcentral.